GUGCUCGCUUUGGUAGCACAUUCACUGAACUGGAACGAUGCAGAGAAGUUUAGUGUGGCCCCUGCGCAAGGAUGACAUGCAAAUUCUUGAAGCUUCCGUAUUUUUC
Molecule: small nuclear RNA, 106 nt
Organism: Pteronotus mesoamericanus
Lineage: Eukaryota; Metazoa; Chordata; Mammalia; Chiroptera; Mormoopidae
Source: RefSeq, a predicted model, not a curated record